Molecule: ribosomal RNA, 440 nt
Filed under: uncultured bacterium
Lineage: Bacteria
Description: partial 16S ribosomal RNA
Rfam family: Bacterial small subunit ribosomal RNA
Source: RNAcentral
CCUACGGGUGGCUGCAGUCGGGAAUAUUGCUCAAUGGGGGAAACCCUGAAGCAGCAACGCCGCGUGGAGGAUGAAGGUUUUCGGAUUGUAAACUCCUUUCGUUAGGGAAGAUAAUGACGGUAUCUAACGAAUAAGCACCGGCUAACUACGUGCCAGCAGCCGCGGUAAUACGGAGGGUGCAAGCGUUACACGGAUUCACUGGGCGUAAAGAGCGCGUAGGCGGGAGAGGAAGUCAGUUGUGAAAUCCUAGGGCUUAACCAUAGAACUGCAUUUGAAACUGUUAGUCUGGAGUAUGGGAGAGGUAAGUGGAAUUCUUGGUGUAGGGGUGAAAUGCGUAGAGAUCAGGAGGAAUACUAAUGGCGAAGGCGACCUGCUAGAACGUAACUGACGCUGAGGCGCGAAAGCGUGGGGAGCAAACAGGAUUAGAUACCCGGGUAGUC